RNAcentral lists this ribosomal RNA (253 nucleotides) under uncultured bacterium. Its description in RNAcentral is "partial 16S ribosomal RNA". It matches the Rfam family "Bacterial small subunit ribosomal RNA", at positions 524 to 776 of the family's 1533-position model. The record is from RNAcentral.
GACGGGGGGGGCUAGCGUUGUUCGGAUUUACUGGGCGUAAAGCGCACGUAGGCGGAUUGUUAAGUCAGGGGUGAAAUCCUGGAGCUCAACUCCAGAACUGCCUUUGAUACUGGCAAUCUAGAGUCCGGAAGAGGUGAGUGGAACUCCUAGUGUAGAGGUGGAAUUCGUAGAUAUUAGGAAGAACACCAGUGGCGAAGGCGGCUCACUGGUCCGGUACUGACGCUGAGGUGCGAAAGCGUGGGGAGCAAACAGG